RNAcentral lists this ribosomal RNA (328 nucleotides) under uncultured bacterium. RNAcentral's name for it is "bacterial SSU rRNA". It matches the Rfam family "Bacterial small subunit ribosomal RNA", at positions 28 to 354 of the family's 1533-position model. The record is from RNAcentral.
GAUGAACGCUGGCGGCGUGCCUAAUACAUGCAAGUCGAACGGAGGUUGUAGUAAUACAGCCUUAGUGGCGAACGGGUGAGUAACGCGUUGGUGACCUGCCCCGAAGUGUGGGAUAACAGUCCGAAAGGAUUGCUAAUACCUCAUGUGUUCCUCUGGAUUAGAUGCCGGAGGAAUAAAGACGUAAGUCGCUUCGGGAGGGGCCUGCGUCCCAUCAGCUAGUUGGUAGGGUAAUGGCCUACCAAGGCUAUGACGGGUAGGGACCUGAGAGGGUGGCCCCCCACAAUGGAACGUAGAAACAACGGUCCGACUACACCUACCGGGUGGGCAG